This 344-nucleotide unclassified non-coding RNA is filed under the name soil metagenome. RNAcentral's name for it is "partial contains 5.8S ribosomal RNA, internal transcribed spacer 2, and large subunit ribosomal RNA". The stretch from base 1 to 120 matches the Rfam family "5.8S ribosomal RNA", at positions 35 to 154 of the family's 154-position model. The record is from RNAcentral.
GAUGAAGAACGCAGCGAAAUGCGAUAAGUAAUGUGAAUUGCAGAAUUCAGUGAAUCAUCGAGUCUUUGAACGCACAUUGCGCCCCCUGGUAUUCCGGGGGGCAUGCCUGUCCGAGCGUCAUUGCUGCCCUCAAGCACGGCUUGUGUGUUGGGCCCCGUCCCCUCCCCCGGGGACGGGCCCGAAAGGCAGCGGCGGCACCGCGUCCGAUCCUCGAGCGUAUGGGGCUUUGUCACCCGCUCUGUAGGCCCGGCCGGCGCCAGCCGACACCCAACUUUUAUUUCUAAGGUUGACCUCGGAUCAGGUAGGGAUACCCGCUGAACUUAAGCAUAUCAAUAAGCGGAGGA